Molecule: long non-coding RNA, 1206 nt
Organism: Corythoichthys intestinalis (scribbled pipefish)
Lineage: Eukaryota; Metazoa; Chordata; Actinopteri; Syngnathiformes; Syngnathidae
Exons: 3
Source: RefSeq, a predicted model, not a curated record
CAACACGAUGGCUGAUGAUGUAAAUAUCAUGGCGGCCUGAACGUUACUUCCUCUUUCUUCGCAGCAUGACGAAAAACGAUGGGGCCGAGCUUCAUUUAGUAAUCGCCGAAGACGACACACGCUCAUGUCGGAUUUAAGCUUGGAUUUACUUAUGAUUGGAUUUAACUACGAAAGCUGUACUGCAUAGGCUACAAACAGGAAGGAUUGUCUCAGGAGUGAUUUGUUCGAGGAUUCAAGCCGUUAGACAGCGGCGAAAACAUCAAUAUGAUGCCACCACGAUUGCAGACAUCAUCAGACGGAGACUACGAAGCUCGUCGCCACGGUCGCGCAGCAAGAAGGUGAGCGAAACAACAGGUUUUGUGCCGAAAAAUAGCCCACCUGCGUGAAAUGUCCCUCCUGACGGGAGCGCCCACACGGAAACGACUGUCUUGUACCGUGAAUAUGUAUUAUUUUACUCUGCUUGAACUAAUAAAUGUCAUACCUGUGUGAUUGUCAUUGGGAUAUGGUCGUGAAAACCUGUAGACUAAUACAUUUCUGUUCAAAUAUGGUUAUGUGGCCCAGUCCACGAUUUGUUACUAUAAUACAUUACUAAUAUUUUGUGUAAUGUAAUUAUUUAAAACUGAUCUUACAGUCGUAAAUCCAUUACUGUAACACAGACCUCCUCUAAACAUUUGAUGUUUUCACGCCAAAAAAGCGUUACAAAUAACCGCCCCCGGCAGGGGGAACAUUUCACGCGGGGCAGCUAUUUUUCGGCACACACCGGCCUGUUGUCGAUCAAAUUUCAUUUUACAAUCGUGACAACGGUGACGCUCAGCUGACCAAAUGUCGGUUUAUAUUCGGGCCCGUGCCGAUUUUGGGUACCCGACUCCCCAUCGUGACAUAAACUGGAGUAUGAUUGGAAAUUUUGUGGUCUCAGGACGAGCUCUGACACACUGGACGGGACCGGACGGGAGGAAACAUCGGUUUGGGCAUCAAAUAUGGAUCCGGCGACUGGAUCGACCGAAGCUUUUCCAAAUAACGGCUUUUAUGCAACUCAUCCAAUGAGUUUACAGCGUCUGAAAGCAUCGGGGCUUCCAUAAUUUGCAAGUGAAUCCACCUUUACAAACUACGAUCAUUGACAAUAUGACACACAAUGACGGACAAUAUGGUGGCACAAUACAGCGAUCAUGUGAUUGUGUGACGUUGGUGAUUGGGGUCUAUUGGAAA